Varanus komodoensis (Komodo dragon) is the source of this 709-nucleotide long non-coding RNA. RefSeq lists it as uncharacterized. The transcript has 2 exons. The record is from RefSeq and is a predicted model, not a curated record. Lineage: Eukaryota; Metazoa; Chordata; Lepidosauria; Squamata; Varanidae.
UCUUCGGAGGCUCCAGCCUGCUGGACUAUAUCCCACCUAGCCGUGGCAAGUGGCUGCGGAUCAUGGGACUUGCAGAUGGGGGAAGGCCGCAUUGGCUGUUUCUACCCCAGUUUCUUUCCGGAGAAGUCCGAGUCUACUUCACGGUCCAGCUUCGGUCGCCGUUCCCUCCCCUCCAGCUCAAGGGUUAAUAAACUCAGCUCCGAUUCCUAGAGAGACAGGAGGUUCCGCCCUGGGGAGGGACGGUCCUCGGAAGUGUCCCUCUUUCCUAUAUCCGGAAGGGAAAUCGGGCUGCGCAGGGUACCCGGCGAGGGGGAGCGGUGGCUCGAGCGGGAGGAAAGAGAGUGGCUCUGGGGAUCUGAUGCCCCAGUCUGACUUUCCAACCUGAAGAAAAGGAGGAAGACCUGCUUGUACAGGAGACAAUGACAGGUAGGUUCUCAGAUAUAUCAUGAGACUGUGUCAAACCUCAGUCAGCUGGUGAAUUUCCACCAUUCUUUUUUACAUCCCCCAGAACAAAGUAGAGUUUUGAAGCUUUUUGUUUUCCUGCAGAUAUGUCUAGUUAUCUCCUGCACUUUGUUCUUGAGAGUUUGUUUGCAAUAUUCCACAUGCUCUGCCAAUGUUAUUUCAGGUAAACUCUUAGCACUAAUGUUAUUGUGAGUUUACUUCUUGGAGUGAUAUGACCAAAAAGUGACAAAUAAAUAUGCAAAGUUGC